AAGGGAAAAGAUCCCACUUGUACACAUAUAUCUAUAGCAGCUCCUUAAUUUCAAUGCUGUUGAGCAUCUGGUUCCUCAGGCCAGCCAGAACUUCACCACCUACAGCAACUCAGGUGUACUGGGUUUAUCUGAAUUUGAGAUGCAAAGGAUUGAGUUGCUACAGCUGUUACAUUCUUGGGAGGAAUCAUUCAAGUCGCCAUGUUUGUGCUGCAUCUGGGCAGUGCCACAUUCUUGCUAACAGAACCUGUGAUCAGUGCAAUGAAAACUGGAGCUGCCACCCAUGUUGUGACCUCACAAGUCAAGUUUCUCCUUGGAUUGAAAACGCCCUAUAUCUCAGGUCCAUUGGGAUUCUUUCAUGGUCUAAAUUAGAACCUGUCAUGGUGUUGUGA
This 389-nucleotide long non-coding RNA is filed under the name Monodelphis domestica (gray short-tailed opossum). RNAcentral's name for it is "lncRNA (ENSMODG00000037488.1)". Lineage: Eukaryota; Metazoa; Chordata; Mammalia; Didelphimorphia; Didelphidae. The record is from RNAcentral.